GGUAGCGUGUCCGAGCGGCCGAAGGAGCGCGCCUCGAAAGCGCGUGAGGGGCAACCCCCCUCCGUGGGUUCAAAUCCCACCGCUACCG
Molecule: transfer RNA, 88 nt
Filed under: Amycolatopsis arida
Lineage: Bacteria; Bacillati; Actinomycetota; Actinomycetes; Pseudonocardiales; Pseudonocardiaceae
Description: Yuhushiella deserti tRNA_Ser_CGA
Rfam family: tRNA
About the family: Transfer RNA (tRNA) molecules are approximately 80 nucleotides in length. Their secondary structure includes four short double-helical elements and three loops (D, anti-codon, and T loops). Further hydrogen bonds mediate the characteristic L-shaped molecular structure. tRNAs have two regions of fundamental functional importance: the anti-codon, which is responsible for specific mRNA codon recognition, and the 3' end, to which the tRNAs corresponding amino acid is attached (by aminoacyl-tRNA synthetases). tRNAs cope with the degeneracy of the genetic code in two manners: having more than one tRNA (with a specific anti-codon) for a particular amino acid; and 'wobble' base-pairing, i.e. permitting non-standard base-pairing at the 3rd anti-codon position.
Source: RNAcentral